This 497-nucleotide ribosomal RNA is filed under the name uncultured bacterium. RNAcentral describes it as "partial 16S ribosomal RNA". It matches the Rfam family "Bacterial small subunit ribosomal RNA", at positions 28 to 507 of the family's 1533-position model. The record is from RNAcentral.
GAUGAACGCUGGCGGCGUGCCUAAUACAUGCAAGUCGAGCGAACGGACGAGAAGCUUGCUUCUCUGAUGUUAGCGGCGGACGGGUGAGUAACAAGUGGAUAACCCACCUAUAAGACUGGGAUAACUUCGGGAAACCGGAGCUAAUACCGGAUAAUAUUUUGAACCGCAUGGUUCAAAAGUGAAAGACGGUCUUUCUGUCACUUAUAGAUGGAUCCGCGCUGCAUUAGCUAGUUGGUAAGGUAACGGCUUACCAAGGCAACGAUGCAUAGCCGACCUGAGAGGGUGAUCGGCCACACUGGAACUGAGACACGGUCCAGACUCCUACGGGAGGCAGCAGUAGGGAAUCUUCCGCAAUGGGCGAGAGCCUUACGGAGCAACGCCGCGUGAGUGAUGAAGGUCUUCGGAUCGUAAAACCCUGUUAUUAGGGAAGAACAUAUGUGUAAGUAACUGUGCACAUCUUGACGGUACCUAAUCAGAAAGCCACGGCUAACUACGUG